RNAcentral lists this ribosomal RNA (253 nucleotides) under uncultured bacterium. Its description in RNAcentral is "partial 16S ribosomal RNA". It matches the Rfam family "Bacterial small subunit ribosomal RNA", at positions 524 to 776 of the family's 1533-position model. The record is from RNAcentral.
UACGUAGGGUGCAAGCGUUGUCCGGAAUUAUUGGGCGUAAAGAGCUCGUAGGCGGUCUGUUGCGUCGGCUGUGAAAACCCGGGGCUCAACCCCGGGCCUGCAGCCGAUACGGGCAGACUAGAGUUCGGCAGGGGAGACUGGAAUUCCUGGUGUAGCGGUGGAAUGCGCAGAUAUCGGGAGGAACACCAGUAGCGAAGGCGGCACUCUGGGCCGGUACUGACGCUGAGGAGCGAAAGCGUGGGGAGCAAACAGG